Molecule: ribosomal RNA, 673 nt
Filed under: bacterium M-8-213
Lineage: Bacteria
Description: bacterial SSU rRNA
Rfam family: Bacterial small subunit ribosomal RNA
Source: RNAcentral
UAGCGGCGGACGGGUGAGUAACACGUAGGUAACCUGCCUAUAAGAUCGGGAUAACUAUCGGAAACGAUAGCUAAGACCGGAUAACUGGUUUUCUCGCAUGAGAGAAUCAUGAAACACGGAGCAAUCUGUGGCUUAUAGAUGGGCCUGCGGCGCAUUAGCUAGUUGGUAGGGUAACGGCCUACCAAGGCGACGAUGCGUAGCCGACCUGAGAGGGUGAACGGCCACACUGGGACUGAGACACGGCCCAGACUCCUACGGGAGGCAGCAGUAGGGAAUCUUCCGCAAUGGACGCAAGUCUGACGGAGCAACGCCGCGUGAGUGAUGAAGGUUUUCGGAUCGUAAAGCUCUGUUGCCCUAGACGAACAGCAAGGAGAGUAACUGCUCUUUGUGUGACGGUAUAGGAGAAGAAAGCCCCGGCUAACUACGUGCCAGCAGCCGCGGUAAUACGUAGGGGGCAAGCGUUGUCCGGAAUUAUUGGGCGUAAAGCGCGCGCAGGCGGUCAAUUAAGUUGGGUGUUUAAUCCCGGGGCUCAACCCCGGUUCGCAUCCAAAACUGGUUGACUUGAGUGUAGGAGAGGAAAGUGGAAUUCCACGUGUAGCGGUGAAAUGCGUAGAGAUGUGGAGGAACACCAGUGGCGAAGGCGACUUUCUGGNCUAUAACUGACGCUGAGGCG